Molecule: unclassified non-coding RNA, 376 nt
Filed under: soil metagenome
Description: partial contains 5.8S ribosomal RNA, internal transcribed spacer 2, and large subunit ribosomal RNA
Rfam family: 5.8S ribosomal RNA (bases 1-120)
Source: RNAcentral
GAUGAAGAACGCAGCGAAAUGCGAUAAGUAAUGUGAAUUGCAGAAUUCAGUGAAUCAUCGAAUCUUUGAACGCAUCUUGCGCUCCUUGGUAUUCUGAGGAGCAUGCCUGUUUGAGUGUCAUUAAAUUCUCAACUACACUGACUUUGAAUUGGUGUGGCUUGGAUUUGGGGGGAAAAUUGUUGUGGGCUUUUUGUAUAGUCUGCUCCCCUGAAAUUGAUUAGCGGUACCUUUGUGGAACUGUCUUCAGGUGUGAUAAUUAUCUACAUCUUAGACAUCUGCUGGAAUGCUGCUUUCUAAACCUUACUUGUAUUGACAAUCUUGACCUCAAAUCAGGUAGGACUACCCGCUGAACUUAAGCAUAUCAAUAAGCGGAGGA